CAAGUCGUACGAGAAGGCCACUGAACAGAUUGAAGUGGAGUGCUUGCACAAAGAUGGAUUCAGUGGAUGUGGAUUCGUCCUUCUAGUGGCGAAACGGGUGAGUAACGACGUGGGUUACCUGCCUCUAAGACUGGGAUACCGAAUUGGAAACGAUUGUUAAUACCGGAUGUGCUCUACGGAGUAAAGAUGGCCUUUAAAGCAUCACUUAGAGAUGGGCCUGCGGCGCAUUAGCUAGUUGGUGGGGUAAUGGCCUACCAAGGCAACGAUGCGUAGCCGAACUGAGAGGUUGAUCGGCCACAUUGGGACUGAGACACGGCCCAGACUCCUACGGGAGACAGCAGUUAGGAAUAUUCGUCAAUGGGGGCAACCCUGAACGAGCAAUGCCGCGUGAGUGAUGAAGGUCCCUCUGGAUUGUAAAACUCUGUUGUUUAGGAAAAACUAUACAUAUAGGAAAUGAUAUGUAUUUGAUGGUACUAUUCAAGAAAGCCACGGCUAACUACGUGCCAGCAGCCGC
This 514-nucleotide ribosomal RNA is filed under the name uncultured bacterium. RNAcentral describes it as "bacterial SSU rRNA". It matches the Rfam family "Bacterial small subunit ribosomal RNA", at positions 58 to 518 of the family's 1533-position model. The record is from RNAcentral.